Molecule: ribosomal RNA, 433 nt
Filed under: uncultured bacterium
Lineage: Bacteria
Description: partial 16S ribosomal RNA
Rfam family: Bacterial small subunit ribosomal RNA
Source: RNAcentral
AACGGACGCUGGCGGCAUGCCUAACACAUGCAAGUCGAACGAGGCCUUCGGGUCUAGUGGCGCACGGGUGCGUAACGCGUGGGAACCUGCCCUUAGGUUCGGAAUAACUCCCCGAAAGGGGUGCUAAUACCGGAUAAUGUCUUCGGACCAAAGAUUUAUCGCCUUUGGAUGGGCCCGCGUUGGAUUAGCUAGUUGGUAGGGUAAAAGCCUACCAAGGCUACGAUCCAUAGCUGGUCUGAGAGGAUGAUCAGCCACACUGGGACUGAGACACGGCCCAGACUCCUACGGGAGGCAGCAGUGGGGAAUAUUGGACAAUGGGCGAAAGCCUGAUCCAGCAAUGCCGCGUGGGUGAUGAAGGCCUUAGGGUUGUAAAGCUCUUUUACCCGGGAUGAUAAUGACAGUACCGGGAGAAUAAGCUCCGGCUAACUCCGUG